UUUUUUUUUUUUCUUUUUUGGCCACGCUUGUGGCAUAUAAAAUCUUCCGGGCCAGGGAUUGAAUCCAGGCCCCAGCUACGAACUUCACCACAGCUGCAGCAAUGCAGGAUGCUUAACCCACUGCACUAGGUUGGGGAUUGAACCUGUACCAUUGCCGCAACAAUGCCAGACCCUUAACUGUCUGCACCACAGUGGGAACUCCCAGGAACAACACUCUUAAUAGUUUAUGGAGUCAGUAUCUUUCUAUACCUAUGAAAAAAUGCAAUUUAGAUCGUGACGUACAAGCUGUUGUUUGAGCUGCUUUAUUCCCUCAUACUGUGGGCAUCCCCGUGUAUUAACCAUUCACUAAUAGCAUGAUUUUCAUGUAUAUUUCUAUUUUUCCAAAAUGCUUAUGUUGAUCCUAAUUUUUCACUAUCAAGUAACACCAUGAGCAUAGUCUUUGUAUACAUUUCUUCGUUUAAUUCUUUAAAUACUUGAAUUAAAAUAAUUUAAUUCUUUCCUUCUUUCUUUAAAUUCUUUAAAAAGGAACAAUAUGUAAAUUCAGAGAAGUGGAAUUACCAGAUAAAAUAUAUUAAAAUUUUUGAAAUAAGUUUUGCGUGUUUUUCGCUAUUUUCAGUUCUCUCUUUCCGGAAAACUCCAGGAAUGGAUGUGAAUUUCUAUUUGUUGUUUCUGGGAGAAAUGGCAUUUUCUGUAAAUGUCCCAAAUAAGUAAACAUCUAUAUAAUUAUCCCAAAAUAAAAUGUUCUAGUGUUAUUAGCUUUGGUGCUCAAGGCAUUCAUCAAAACUAAAUGUUGAUCACAGUCCUUGUGGCCAACAAAGAAUAAAGUGAAUUUUCACUAGCAACAGCAGAAAACAAAUUUGAACUACACCUAUGUAUAAUUAUACUCUAUGUUUUGCCUACAAUUCCCGCUUGUAUUUGUGUGAUGUACUCACACAGAGUGUAAUGAACUAUUCUGAGGUCUGUGCCAAUACUUCUCCACAAUCAGAUAAAAGCAUGAAAUAAAUGGUAUGUUUGCAGAAAGAUAUUCACACGUUUAUAUACGUAUUUGGAAGCUUGUUUCAAGCAGUGGUGAGUUAGUGUUUCAUUAAAAAGCAUGCUUUUGCUUGAUGGUUCUUUAUGAGAUUAUGAAAUGAUUCCUCUUAACAAGGAAGAUGCUGUCUACCCUGAAAGCAGCUGGUGAGAUGGAAGGAGAAGAGGAGGAGCCCACGGAUUUAAUCCAGAAAACCAUCACUUUCAUUUCUUCAUCACUUGACUGAGCCCUUUCAAAACAUGACCUCUGUGGCUCAAGGCUUCGGUUACUCAUAGCCAGGCAAGUUUAAGGACCUGAAGUAAGCACCUUUAAAAUUCAUGUUCCAGCAAAGACAGGGGCUUUCCAAGUUAGCAAUUUCAAAAGAUGUUUGGUGAGGGUGGGGAGCGAGGAUGGCUUGCACUGCACCCACCUGUCUGCAGAGUGGGAAUUAAUCAUCUUUGGUCUGGCUUGGAGGAAGUACUCUGGGUGAAAAACAGUGGAUGCAGAAGCACAGUUUGUAUGAAGAUUAACAGCAGACCAUUCUGACAGCCUGCCAUCUCAUAAACCUCUGAUGGGCGUCUGGGCUACAACAAACAACCUGUGUAUUGCCUCUAUUUUUCCCUGCUCCACAACUUAAUACUGAAAUGUAUAAAAGGUUGCAUUUUCCAAUGGUAUAUAUAUUUUUAAUGAAACCAAGAUAAAACAUAAAAGUUCACAUUUCAAUGAUGUUUUUCUACCAGCUACUGAUGGCAGUUGAUAUAAACCAAGCUAUCUUUUAAUUUCUCCAGAAAGAAUUUCUUUUGAGCCGGUCGGCAUGUGCAGACAAGAAACCACUGGGAGGCUUGGGGGUUGGAAGUGCUGUGACAGACAGGCAUCAAGCCACAGAGCUCAGGCCUGUCUCUGCAGGCCAGUACUACCUCCAGCCCUGCAGCCUCCAUCAAGCUUGGCGAGGUGGGUAGAUAAAGUGUCGAAUUAAAGGAGAUUUACUAUUUACAAUAGCCAAGACAUGGAAGAAACCUAAAUGUCCAUUGACAGAGAAAUGGAUAAAGAAAAUGUGGUACACAUAUACAAUGGAAUAUUACUCAGCUGUAAAAAAGAAUGAAACCCAUUUGUAGCAACACAGAUGGACCUAGAGAUCAUCAUACUAAGUGAAGUAAGCCAGAUAGAGAAAGACAAAUAAUCAUGUGGUAUCUCUUAUAUGUGGACUCUAAAAAGUAGUACAAACAAACCUAUUUACAAACCAUCAAUAGUCUCGCUGAUAUAGAAAGCAAACUUAUGGUUACUAAAGGGGAAAGGUGGGGGGAGAGGGGAGAGGUAAAUUAUGGGGUUGGGAUUAACAUAUACACAUAUAAAACAUAUACUGCAGAUAACCAAUAAGGACCUAACUGACCUAAUGUAUAGCAUAGGGAACUAUACUCAAUAUUUUGUAAUAGCCUAUAAGGUCAUCAUCAAAUUCUCCCAAAUCACAGCUAAAUUAAUUGGAGAGGUUUUACUGUCCCCCCACGUCAUGAGGUUGAAACACCUUCUAAUGGCACUAGUUUAGCAACAAAUGUUGAAACAUUGCACAGUCCUACAAAAAUCUGUCCUCCACUUCACUUGGAAAAUACAGAAAACUCUCUCACCUUUGAACAUCAAAAGUCCAGAUUUCCACGAUUCGCCGUUCAGCGAGAUGGGUGAAGGCUGUUCGAGACCUUUGAUGAUGGCGGGAAAGAACUCUAAAUGCUCUGGCCUUCCCACCACCCCCAAUCCAGGACCCCGUGACCUGGGAGUGAAGCUACAUGAGGGGCACCUUGUUCUGCCCUGUGACCUUUCCAGCCCGCCCCCCUCAGGCUGAGCACAGUAUGUCACUUUCGGCAUCUGAUCUGC
RNAcentral lists this long non-coding RNA (2875 nucleotides) under Sus scrofa (pig). RNAcentral describes it as "lncRNA (ENSSSCG00045012529.1)". The record is from RNAcentral. Lineage: Eukaryota; Metazoa; Chordata; Mammalia; Artiodactyla; Suidae.